ACGACCAGGUAGAUAGGCUGGAGGUGGAAGUGCAGCAAUGUAUGGAGCUGACCAGUACUAAUCGGCCGAGGUCUUGAUCUAACAAGAC
Molecule: ribosomal RNA, 88 nt
Filed under: Eubacterium sp. BL-380-WT-2B
Lineage: Bacteria; Bacillati; Bacillota; Clostridia; Eubacteriales; Eubacteriaceae
Description: partial 23S ribosomal RNA
Rfam family: Bacterial large subunit ribosomal RNA
Source: RNAcentral